RNAcentral lists this ribosomal RNA (676 nucleotides) under Inocybe nitidiuscula. RNAcentral's name for it is "eukaryotic LSU rRNA". It matches the Rfam family "Eukaryotic large subunit ribosomal RNA", at positions 1 to 653 of the family's 3401-position model. The record is from RNAcentral. Lineage: Eukaryota; Fungi; Basidiomycota; Agaricomycetes; Agaricales; Inocybaceae. RNAcentral also lists the same sequence under 1 other name.
UUGACCUCAAAUCAGGUAGGACUACCCGCUGAACUUAAGCAUAUCAAUAAGCGGAGGAAAAGAAACUAACAAGGAUUCCCCUAGUAACUGCGAGUGAAGCGGGAAGAGCUCAAAUUUGAAAUCUGGCGGUCCUUGGCCGUCCGAGUUGUAAUCUAGAGAAGUGCUACCUGUGCUGGACCGUGUACAAGUCUCCUGGAAUGGAGCAUCGCAGAGGGUGAGAAUCCCGUCUUUGACACGGACUGCCAUGUACGUCAUGGUGCGCUCUCGAAGAGUCGAGUUGUUUGGGAAUGCAGCUCAAAAUGGGUGGUAAAUGCCAUCUAAAGCUAAAUAUUGGCGAGAGACCGAUAGCGAACAAGUACCGUGAGGGAAAGAUGAAAAGAACUUUGGAAAGAGAGUUAAACAGUACGUGAAAUUGCUGAAAGGGAAACGCUUGAAGUCAGUCGCGUCGGCCAGAAAUCAGCCUUUGCUUUUGCUUGGUGUACUUUCUUGGUUGAUGGGUCAGCAUCAAUUUCGACCGUCGGAUAAAGUCGUCGGGAAUGUGGCAUCUUCGGAUGUGUUAUAGCCCGGCGUCGCAUACGGUGGUUGGGAUUGAGGAACUCAGCACGCCGAAAGGCCGGGUCUCUCGAGACCACGUCCGUGCUUAGGAUGCUGGCAUAAUGGCUUUAAUCGACCCGUC